Molecule: transfer RNA, 73 nt
Filed under: Methanosphaera cuniculi
Lineage: Archaea; Methanobacteriati; Methanobacteriota; Methanobacteria; Methanobacteriales; Methanobacteriaceae
Description: tRNA-Asp
Rfam family: tRNA
About the family: Transfer RNA (tRNA) molecules are approximately 80 nucleotides in length.
Source: RNAcentral
GCCUUGGUAGUGUAGAGGCGAUCAUGCAGGCCUGUCGAGCCUGCGACUCGGGUUCAAAUCCCGGCCAAGGCGC